AGGACGAACGCUGGCGGCGCGCCUAAUACAUGCAAGUCGAACGGGCUACCUUCGGGUAGCCAGUGGCGGACGGGUGAGUAACACGUGGGUGACCUGCCUUCUCGUGGGGAAUAACGCUGCGAAAGCAGCGCUAAUACCGCAUACGCUCCGCGCUUCAUUACGCGGAGGAAAGCUUGAUGCGCGAGAAGAGGGGCCUGCGGCGGAUUAGCUAGUCGGGGGGGUAAUGGCCCACCGAGGCGACGAUCCGUAGCUGAUCUGAGAGGAUGAUCAGCCACACUGGGACUGAGACACGGCCCAGACUCCUACGGGAGGCAGCAGUAAGGAAUCUUCCGCAAUGGUCGCAAGACUGACGGAGCGACGCCGCGUGCGCGACGAAGCCCUUCGGGUGUAAAGCGCUUUUCCCAGGGACGAUACAAGACGGUACCUGGGGAAGAAGCCUCGGCUAACUACGUGCCAGCAGCCGCGGUAA
This 469-nucleotide ribosomal RNA is filed under the name uncultured bacterium. Its description in RNAcentral is "SSU rRNA". It matches the Rfam family "Bacterial small subunit ribosomal RNA", at positions 26 to 523 of the family's 1533-position model. The record is from RNAcentral.